RNAcentral lists this ribosomal RNA (497 nucleotides) under uncultured bacterium. RNAcentral describes it as "partial 16S ribosomal RNA". It matches the Rfam family "Bacterial small subunit ribosomal RNA", at positions 28 to 507 of the family's 1533-position model. The record is from RNAcentral.
GACGAACGCUGGCGGCGUGCCUAAUACAUGCAAGUUGAGCGCUGAAGGUUGGUACUUGUACCGACUGGAUGAGCAGCGAACGGGUGAGUAACGCGUGGGGAAUCUGCCUUUGAGCGGGGGACAACAUUUGGAAACGAAUGCUAAUACCGCAUAAAAACUUUAAACACAAGUUUUAAGUUUGAAAGAUGCAAUUGCAUCACCCAAAGAUGAUCCCGCGUUGUAUUAGCUAGUUGGUGAGGUAAAGGCUCACCAAGGAGAUGAUACAUAGCCGACCUGAGAGGGUGAUCGGCCACAUUGGGACUGAGACACGGCCCAAACUCCUACGGGAGGCAGCAGUAGGGAAUCUUCGGCAAUGGACGAAAGUCUGACCGAGCAACGCCGCGUGAGUGAAGAAGGUUUUCGGAUCGUAAAACUCUGUUGGUAGAGAAGAACGUUGGUGAGAGUGGAAAGCUCAUCAAGUGACGGUAACUACCCAGAAAGGGACGGCUAACUACGUG